GGGGUUGUAGUCAGUGGUAGAGCACUUGCUCAGCAUGCAUGAGGUCCUGGGUUCAAUCCCCAGUACCCCA
RNAcentral lists this transfer RNA (70 nucleotides) under Marmota marmota marmota (Alpine marmot). It matches the Rfam family "tRNA". Rfam says of the family: Transfer RNA (tRNA) molecules are approximately 80 nucleotides in length. Their secondary structure includes four short double-helical elements and three loops (D, anti-codon, and T loops). RNAcentral also lists the same sequence under 1 other name. The record is from Rfam by way of RNAcentral. Lineage: Eukaryota; Metazoa; Chordata; Mammalia; Rodentia; Sciuridae.